This 153-nucleotide unclassified non-coding RNA is filed under the name uncultured Ascomycota. Its description in RNAcentral is "sequence contains ITS2". Lineage: Eukaryota; Fungi; Ascomycota. The record is from RNAcentral.
AGACCACCCCUAGGCCUCCUGCCUAGCGUUGGGGAUCCGCCCAGGCGGUCCCUCAAAGCCCCCAGCAGAGCUGCCGGCGUCCUCUAAGCGUAGUAGUGAUAUCUCGCUUCUGCGGGCGCCGCGGGUCUGGCUGUAGAGACAAGUAGACCACUA